GAAGUGGUAGCUCCGUGGUUAAGACGUCUGACUUCCGAUCGGAAGGUUGUGAGUUUAAAUCCCAGCCCCACCA
Pangasius djambal is the source of this 73-nucleotide non-coding RNA. Lineage: Eukaryota; Metazoa; Chordata; Actinopteri; Siluriformes; Pangasiidae. The record is from the annotation of a GenBank genome assembly.